RNAcentral lists this transfer RNA (74 nucleotides) under Patescibacteria group bacterium. RNAcentral's name for it is "tRNA-Ala". It matches the Rfam family "tRNA". Rfam says of the family: Transfer RNA (tRNA) molecules are approximately 80 nucleotides in length. Their secondary structure includes four short double-helical elements and three loops (D, anti-codon, and T loops). Further hydrogen bonds mediate the characteristic L-shaped molecular structure. tRNAs have two regions of fundamental functional importance: the anti-codon, which is responsible for specific mRNA codon recognition, and the 3' end, to which the tRNAs corresponding amino acid is attached (by aminoacyl-tRNA synthetases). tRNAs cope with the degeneracy of the genetic code in two manners: having more than one tRNA (with a specific anti-codon) for a particular amino acid; and 'wobble' base-pairing, i.e. permitting non-standard base-pairing at the 3rd anti-codon position. The record is from RNAcentral.
GGGCCAUUAGCUCAAUUGGCUAGAGCGCUACAUUCGCAUUGUAGAGGUUACCGGUUCAAGUCCGGUAUGGUCCA